Long non-coding RNA from Canis lupus familiaris (dog), 614 nucleotides. RefSeq lists it as uncharacterized. Lineage: Eukaryota; Metazoa; Chordata; Mammalia; Carnivora; Canidae. The transcript is spliced from 5 exons. The record is from RefSeq and is a predicted model, not a curated record.
CGUUAGGACCCGUGUAGCGGGGGCGCGGGCAUCGUGGGAGCAACGCUUUCCGCUUCUUGUCCCCCUCGCCCGCCACCGCCAGGCCGGCAUGGAAGGACCCAGCACGUCACGUGACUGGCUCGGGCAAGUCACGUGACGCGGAGCCCGCAAACGCCAGGCCUAGGGCCGAGCGGGUCUGGCGGAGCCCCUGGUCACCCGGGCGACGGGCUCUUAGGUGCUGGGGAUCCGAACUACCCGGCUUUCCCGUCAGAUACCUUUUUUCGGGUGGUGUCCUGUCAUGGGGGCAUGGGUCCCCUCUUACCAUGUCUGGCUGGCGGCGACCCAGAUGCCACGUGAUGGUCAUUUGAAGACAAGCCUGUCGGACAUCAGUUCAUUUGACCAGAUGUGAGCAUGCAAGAUACGGGUGAAUUGACUCUUUAUGAUCUUGGGUUCAGAUCCUGCCCUUCCUGUCCAGACCUUCUUGUUUCCUGUGGAUUUUGGCACCAUGCUGACCUCAGUGUUGCUAUUUAUCUGAGGUGUAGAUGCUGCACACAGGGAAGGGCCCAAGUGGUGCCUUGGGUGGCAAGAUAUCAAAGCAGCUCGCAUUGGUCUGAAGCUUUCCAGAAAGUUCCUGA